CCUACGGGUGGCAGCAGUGGGGAAUAUUGCACAAUGGGCGCAAGCCUGAUGCAGCCAUGCCGCGUGUGUGAAGAAGGCCUUCGGGUUGUAAAGCACUUUCAGCGGGGAGGAAGGCGGUGAGGUUAAUAACCUCAUCGAUUGACGUUACCCGCAGAAGAAGCACCGGCUAACUCCGUGCCAGCAGCCGCGGUAAUACGGAGGGUGCAAGCGUUAAUCGGAAUUACUGGGCGUAAAGCGCACGCAGGCGGUCUGUCAAGUCGGAUGUGAAAUCCCCGGGCUCAACCUGGGAACUGCAUUCGAAACUGGCAGGCUAUAGUCUGGUAGAGGGGGGUAGAAUUCCAGGUGUAGCGGUGAAAUGCGUAGAGAUCUGGAGGAAUACCGGUGGCGAAGGCGGCCCCCUGGACAAAGACUGACGCUCAGGUGUGAAAGCGUGGGGAGCAAACAGGAUUAGAUACCCGGGUAGUC
This 465-nucleotide ribosomal RNA is filed under the name uncultured Klebsiella sp. Its description in RNAcentral is "bacterial SSU rRNA". It matches the Rfam family "Bacterial small subunit ribosomal RNA", at positions 338 to 795 of the family's 1533-position model. Lineage: Bacteria; Pseudomonadati; Pseudomonadota; Gammaproteobacteria; Enterobacterales; Enterobacteriaceae. The record is from RNAcentral.